This 300-nucleotide ribosomal RNA is filed under the name uncultured Halobellus sp. Its description in RNAcentral is "bacterial SSU rRNA". It matches the Rfam family "Bacterial small subunit ribosomal RNA", at positions 496 to 795 of the family's 1533-position model. Lineage: Archaea; Methanobacteriati; Methanobacteriota; Halobacteria; Halobacteriales; Haloferacaceae. The record is from RNAcentral.
GCGAAAGCUGGUACAGACGCGGGGGUAGUACAGGGGGUGGAGGCGUUAAGUGGGUGUAAGGGGCGUAAAGCGCGCGUAGGUGGUUCAGUAAGAUGGGUGUGAAAUGCCCGGGCGUAACCUGGGAACUGCUUUCAUAACUGCUGAGCUAGAGGACGGUAGAGGGGAGGGGAAUUUCCUGUGUAGCGGUGAAAUGCGUAGAUAUAGGAAGGAACACCAGUGGCCAAGGCGACUACCUGGACUGAUACUGACACUGAGGUGCGAAAGCGUGGGGAGCAAACAGGAUUAGAUACCCGAGUAGUC